Molecule: long non-coding RNA, 593 nt
Filed under: Ananas comosus (pineapple)
Lineage: Eukaryota; Viridiplantae; Streptophyta; Magnoliopsida; Poales; Bromeliaceae
Description: long non-coding RNA (ACOM_LNC012196)
Source: RNAcentral
UUGGUUCACGAACUUGGUUCAUGGUUUAUGGGAUUUGGUUCGUGAACUUGGGUAUGGUUCGUGGUGUUUGGUUCACGAACUUGGUUCAUGGUUUAUGGGAUUUGGUUCGUGAACUUGGGUAUGGUUCGUGGUGUUUGGUUCACGAACUUGGUUCAUGGUUUAUGGGAUUUAAUUCAUGAACUUGAGUAUGAAUCCUAGUUGGAAGUCGGGUUUGGGUUCUAUUUGUGGUCCGGAUUGGAUUUGAAUUUGGGAUUUUAUUUGUGGAUUGGAUUGGUUUUGGGUUUAUCUGUGGAUUGUAUUUGCUUUUGGGUUUUAUUUGUUGACUUGGUUUUGGUUUGGGGAAUUUGAUUUGGGUUUUGGGUUUGGGUUUUUUAUUUUCGUUUGAAUUUUAUUUAUGGACUUGACAUGGGUUACGGGUUUGGGUUUUGGUUUUGAGUUUGGAUUUGGGUUUGGAUUUGGGUUUUGGUUUUGGUUUUUUAUUUGGAUUUUGGUUUUUUAUUUGUGGACUUGGUUUGGGUUUGGAUUUGGGUUUCAUUUGUGGACUUGGUUUUCUUCUCAAUUCUAUUUCGGGUCUGAGAAAAUUCUCUUUUGAU